RNAcentral lists this ribosomal RNA (570 nucleotides) under uncultured Leptothrix sp. RNAcentral describes it as "bacterial SSU rRNA". It matches the Rfam family "Bacterial small subunit ribosomal RNA", at positions 8 to 577 of the family's 1533-position model. Lineage: Bacteria; Pseudomonadati; Pseudomonadota; Betaproteobacteria; Burkholderiales; Sphaerotilaceae. The record is from RNAcentral.
AGAGUUUGAUCCUGGCUCAGAUUGAACGCUGGCGGUAUGCCUUACACAUGCAAGUCGAACGGUAGAGGGGCAACCCUUGAGAGUGGCGAACGGGUGAGUAAUACAUCGGAACGUGCCCAGUCGUGGGGGAUAACGUAGCGAAAGCUACGCUAAUACCGCAUACGACCCGAGGGUGAAAGCGGGGGACUCGCAAGAGCCUCGCGCGAUUGGAGCGGCCGAUGGCAGAUUAGGUAGUUGGUGGGGUAAAGGCCCACCAAGCCUGCGAUCUGUAGCUGGUCUGAGAGGACGACCAGCCACACUGGGACUGAGACACGGCCCAGACUCCUACGGGAGGCAGCAGUGGGGAAUUUUGGACAAUGGGCGAAAGCCUGAUCCAGCCAUACCGCGUGCGGGAAGAAGGCCUUCGGGUUGUAAACCGCUUUUGUCAGGGAAGAAAUCCUUUGGGUUAAUACCUCGGAGGGAUGACGGUACCUGAAGAAUAAGCACCGGCUAACUACGUGCCAGCAGCCGCGGUAAUACGUAGGGUGCAAGCGUUAAUCGGAAUUACUGGGCGUAAAGCGUGCGCAGGCG